UACGAAGGGGGCUAGCGUCGUUCGGAAUUACUGGGCGUAAAGCGUGCGCAGGCGGCUUCUCAAGUCAGGGGUGAAAGCCCAGAGCUCAACUCUGGAAUUGCCUUUGAGACUGAGUGGCUUGAGUACGAGAGAGGUGAGUGGAAUUCCCAGUGUAGAGGUGAAAUUCGUAGAUAUUGGGAAGAACACCGGUGGCGAAGGCGGCUCACUGGCUCGUAACUGACGCUCAUGCACGAAAGCGUGGGGAUCAAACAGG
RNAcentral lists this ribosomal RNA (253 nucleotides) under uncultured bacterium. RNAcentral's name for it is "partial 16S ribosomal RNA". It matches the Rfam family "Bacterial small subunit ribosomal RNA", at positions 524 to 776 of the family's 1533-position model. The record is from RNAcentral.